RNAcentral lists this ribosomal RNA (207 nucleotides) under uncultured bacterium. Its description in RNAcentral is "partial 16S ribosomal RNA". It matches the Rfam family "Bacterial small subunit ribosomal RNA", at positions 568 to 774 of the family's 1533-position model. The record is from RNAcentral.
CACGUAGGCGGCGAUUUAAGUCAGAGGUGAAAGCCCGGGGCUCAACCCCGGAACUGCCUUUGAGACUGGAUUGCUUGAAUCCUGGAGAGGUGAGUGGAAUUCCGAGUGUAGAGGUGAAAUUCGUAGACAUUCGGAAGAACACCAGUGGCGAAGGCGGCUCACUGGACAGGUAUUGACGCUGAGGUGCGAAAGCGUGGGGAGCAAACA